Molecule: ribosomal RNA, 119 nt
Organism: Urocitellus parryii (Arctic ground squirrel)
Lineage: Eukaryota; Metazoa; Chordata; Mammalia; Rodentia; Sciuridae
Source: Ensembl
AGUUAUGGCCAUACCACACUGAACUUGCCUGAUCUCAUCUGACUUCAGAAGCUAAGAAGGGUCAGGCCUGAUUAGUACUUGAAUGGGAGACSAAAAUCUAUCAAUCAGUCAUUGAACUU